This 1207-nucleotide ribosomal RNA is filed under the name Processina sexmaculata. RNAcentral describes it as "16S ribosomal RNA". The record is from RNAcentral. Lineage: Eukaryota; Metazoa; Arthropoda; Insecta; Hemiptera; Cicadellidae.
UUUUUAUAUUUUUGUUUUAUUUAAAUAUUUUAUUAUAUUAUUUUAUUUUUUAUAAGUAUUUUUUGAAUUUAUUAGUAUUAUUAAAACUGACUAGGUUUGUAUUUAUUAUCUUAAAAUAAUUUAUAGUACCUUUUGUAUCAGGGUUAAUUUAAUUUUAAAUUUAUAAUUUAUGUCCCGAAUUGAAAAUAUAUAAUUUUAAAUUAAGUAAUUUAUUGUAAAACGUUUCUUUAAUUUAAUUUUAGUAAUUAAAAGUUAUUCGUUUUUCAUAUAUAUCUGGUUUUUUAAGAAUUAAUUAAAUUUAGGAUCUAUUAUAAAUAUUAUUAAUUUAUUUUUUAUUUCUUAUUAAUUUGGGGAUAAGCUCAAUUUAACUUUAAAAUUAGUUUUAAUUUAAUUUUUUUCAGUUUUAGAAUCUUUCAUUAAGUUCUUAAUAGAUUAGAAUUUUAUUUUUUUUAUUUUAUUAAAUUUAUAUUAUUAUUAGAAUUUUUUAUUAAAUUUUUAUUUAUUAAAAAUAAUGAUUAAAUUAGUAUAAUUUUAAGUUAAUAAUUAAUUAAUUCAACAAAUUUUAUUUUCAACUGUUUAACAAAAACAUUUCUUUUAGGCUUAUAUUAAAAGUAUUUUCUGCCCAAUGAUUAAAUUUAAAUGGCUGCAGUAUACUGACUGUGCAAAGGUAGCAUAAUAAUUAGUCUUUUAAUUGGAGACUGGAAUGAAAGGAUAUAUGAGAAAUAUAUUUUAUUAUUUUUAAUUUUUUAAUUUUAUUUUUAGGUAAGAAAGCUUAAUUUUUUUUUUGGGACGAAAAGACCCUAUAGAACUUUAUUAUUUUUACAUAUAAUUACGUUUUAGAAAUUUAACUAAAUUAUUUUAAUUAUAAUUUGAUUGGGGGGAUAAUUAAAUUUAAAACUUUAUUUUAAUUUUUCAUUUUAUUUAUGCUUAUAUUGAUCCAAAAUUUUUGAUUAAAAGAUAUAGUUACCUUAGGGAUAACAGCGUAAUUUUAAUGGGGAGAUCAUAUCUAUAUUAAAGUUUGCGACCUCGAUGUUGAAUUAAGAAAAGUUUAGGGGGAAGUUUCUUUUAUACUAAGUCUGUUCGACUUUUAAAUUCUUACAUGAUUUGAGUUCAGAUCGGUGUGAGCCAGAUCGGUUUCUAUCUUAAAAUAUUUUUAUUGUUUUAGUACGAAAGGACCAUUCAGUACUAUAUUUAAUAGUUUAUUUUU